This 498-nucleotide ribosomal RNA is filed under the name uncultured bacterium. RNAcentral describes it as "partial 16S ribosomal RNA". It matches the Rfam family "Bacterial small subunit ribosomal RNA", at positions 30 to 523 of the family's 1533-position model. The record is from RNAcentral.
AUUGAACGCUGGCGGCAUGCCUUACACAUGCAAGUCGAACGGUAACAGGUCUUCGGAUGCUGACGAGUGGCGAACGGGUGAGUAAUACAUCGGAACGUGCCUAGUAGUGGGGGAUAACUACUCGAAAGAGUGGCUAAUACCGCAUGAGAUCUACGGAUGAAAGCAGGGGAUCGCAAGACCUUGUGCUACUAGAGCGGCGGAUGGCAGAUUAGGUAGUUGGUGGGAUAAAAGCUUACCAAGCCGACGAGCUGUAGCUGGUCUGAGAGGACGAUCAGCCACACUGGGACUGAGACACGGCCCAGACUCCUACGGGAGGCAGCAGUGGGGAAUUUUGGACAAUGGGCGCAAGCCUGAUCCAGCAAUGCCGCGUGCAGGAUGAAGGCCUUCGGGUUGUAAACUGCUUUUGUACGGAACGAAAAGCCCUGGGUUAAUACCCUGGGGUCAUGACGGUACCGUAAGAAUAAGCACCGGCUAGCUACGUGCCAGCCGCCGCCGUAA